Molecule: long non-coding RNA, 1576 nt
Organism: Brassica napus (rape)
Lineage: Eukaryota; Viridiplantae; Streptophyta; Magnoliopsida; Brassicales; Brassicaceae
Exons: 2
Source: RefSeq, a predicted model, not a curated record
GACACACCUAUAAUUUAUAGUCCUCGUGUACAAUGUUUUAGAUCUUGUUUUAUUUUUAUUUGUAGAUUAUGUCAUUUUUUUAUGUUAUUUUAAUUAUAUAAAAUAUAAUAUCAGUUUUUAAAUCUAACAAAUUCAUUUUAAAUAAACUGUUUUCUUUAUUUUUCAAAUCGAUUAGCAUCCACACUUGGGUUAAUUUUAUAGACUAAAUUUCAACUUACAUUUGUAAAUCAUUAAUAACAUGUCAUUUUGAUCUGAGGGAAUACUAAAAAGGUUGAAUGUUGCUCAUCAUAAUUAAUAUGACUUCUAGACUUAUAAAUAUGACGACGGGUUUUCUAAGGUUUUCGCGUUUGUAAUUUAGGUUUGCUCUAUCGUCUAUGACAGAUUCAAUACUUUCUCGGUGGCUACUCUCCUGUUGUGCUUUCCAUCUUACUUUCGAAGACAAGUUCAUCAAAUCAGGACGUUGCUUAGCUUCUCGAUUGGCUCAGUCGGAAGCUUGUGGCGGGGAGAUCUGAUGUGAGAGUCGUCAUCCCAGUGUUUCGAUGGUUGUUUGAUAUUUGGAGCAGAUUGAUCUUUCUUUUUUUGCAGGAUUUAAAGCACUUUUUAUUGGAUUUGCCUUCUUCGCAACUCGUUUUUCUCAGUGGCUAUGUAUCGUCUGAUAGUCUUUCGGGUCAUUGAGCUAUAGCCGACAACCGAGAAAAUAAGGUGAACGCCAUCCUUUCGUGGCUACAAUCAACGGUUGAAAAUGUCAAGUGAUAAUCUAAAUAUUGUGGAGCCAUUGUUUAGCAGAACGCGCUGGUUUGGUUUGGUGUGGUUCGGUGGUUGAGCGAAACUAGCUGGGUUAAGUAUUGAAAUAGAUCGUUUUGUUCUACUCAGAUUUAUAAUUGACACUAACAUUUUCGAGUUUUGGGCUGAGAAAUAAAAGUAAAUAUUAAAAAUGAAAGAGAGUGAACUUUGGAUAUGAUAAAAAGAAUAUCCAAGCGUGGACCCAUUAUGAUCUCUCAGUCUCUUGCAUUACGUAGACCUCACAAACCGUGUAGUUGCUAUACCACGAGUAAAAUAUAGAGAAAUUGGUGUGGAUACAACCAAAAGCACGUAUAAUUUGGCAUAUCCUUUUAUUUUUUUAAAUAUUUUUUUAUGACUUUUAUAUUCUUAUCUCUAUCUCUCUUUCUCCCUUUUCUAUGUUCUAAUUAGGCCUGGACAUUUUAACCUAGACUCGAAGACCCGAACCGGAACCGACCCAAAAAUAUCCGAUCCGGACUCGGACCAAAAAUUUACAAGUACUUUUUGGGUCUAAAUUUUUUUUACCCGAAUGGACUUGGAACCGAAAGAAACCGAAAGGAACCAAAAAGAACCGAUCCGAAUAGACCCGGAUCCGAAAAGAACCGACCCGAAUAGACCCGACCCGAUAAGAACCGAUUUGUACCCGACUUAAAAACGUGUAUAUCUAAAACUAUAAUGUUUUUGUGUUCUAUUUUAUAUAUAUUAUUUUAUGAUUUAGUUGAAAUAUCUUUUGUCAACAAUAUUUGUUAUUAUUUUGUAAUAUUGUUUAAGUAAUAUGAACCUUUAAAAUGUAAAA